CCCCAGGGUAGAAAUACUCACGGAGUCUCUCACAAGUUCUAUGACUAAGAUAGGCAAGAUUACUCAAGUAAACUUGAGAGCCUUGAGGUUUUUGAAGCAAUGCAGAAACCAGUAUUUCAAAUAAUUCUUUCUAAUUACUGCCACCCACAGUGAAGACAUCAAGAGAAGCCUUUACUUUGAUAAUUCUAGGAGGUGAAAUCUCACCCCAGGAACCACUUUUAUCUUCCACCAAACACCUGCAGGCUGUAAAAGCAAUGCAGGGAGAGAGCAGAGUGAAUGUGUGUUUGGGAGCAGGGGUGGUGGAGGGAAGGUGGAUAGGCCUCUAGAAGGGCUGUGAGUAUGGAAAUUUCAUUCCUCAAUUAUCUGAAGCAGGAGAGUCUGCAGAAUUAGGAUAUAAAGGAGUGCAGCUGGGAGGAGAGGGAGUGAAUGGUGAGCAUGGAGGGUGGGGCUGUGGGUGAGGGACUGAAGUACUCCCAGGUCCUUUUAGGUGAGGGAUACUUUCAGGACUGGGUUGGGUCAGCCAGUCAGAAAGUAGCCUUCCUAGGAGCUUUACAUUGGACAGCUGCUGCCCCACCGAUACAUCUUGGCACACAAGAGUUAGGCCACUGUAUCUGUCCUGUCCCACACACUUGCUCCAGAUGAUCUUUACCACAUGACACAUGAACAUACACUGUGUACACCUGGAGCCCACCUGACAUGGAGCUUUGGACUGCUCCACAAGUCUCCAGCAUGCCUUUGGAAG
RNAcentral lists this long non-coding RNA (742 nucleotides) under Homo sapiens (human). RNAcentral describes it as "HSALNT0006140". Lineage: Eukaryota; Metazoa; Chordata; Mammalia; Primates; Hominidae. The record is from RNAcentral.